GACAGAGGUGCCAAGCGUUAGGCGGAAUCACUGGGCUUAAAGCGUGUGUAGGCGGAUCGUUAAGUACCUUGUGAAAUCCCACGGCUCAACCGUGGAACUGCUCGGUAUACUGGCGGUCUUGAGCCACCUAGGGGCAACUGGAACAAGCGGUGGAGCGGUGAAAUGCGUAGAUAUCGGAAGGAACAUCAGUGGCGAAGGCGACUUCCUGGACCAAUACUGACGCUCAGGUGCGAAAGCGUGGGGAGCAAACAGG
RNAcentral lists this ribosomal RNA (253 nucleotides) under uncultured bacterium. RNAcentral describes it as "partial 16S ribosomal RNA". It matches the Rfam family "Bacterial small subunit ribosomal RNA", at positions 524 to 776 of the family's 1533-position model. The record is from RNAcentral.